Molecule: ribosomal RNA, 267 nt
Filed under: uncultured bacterium
Lineage: Bacteria
Description: partial 16S ribosomal RNA
Rfam family: Bacterial small subunit ribosomal RNA
Source: RNAcentral
UUGACUGAGCGGCGGACGGGUGAGUAACGCGUGGGCAACCUGCCUUACACAGGGGGAUAACAGUUAGAAAUGACUGCUAAUACCGCAUAAGACCGCAGUACCGCACGGUACAGCGGUAAAAACUCCGGUGGUGUAAGAUGGGCCCGCGUCUGAUUAGGUAGUUGGCGGGGUAACGGCCCACCAAGCCGACGAUCAGUAGCCGACCUGAGAGGGUGACCGGCCACAUUGGGACUGAGACACGGCCCAGACUCCUACGGAAGGCAGCAG